AGGCAGGAUGUCUCUUGGGGAGGCGAGGGCGUAGAGACGGAAAAGCGGAUCCAAUUAGUUACCACCUCUCAGCACACACAAAUAAUUAGUAACCCACUCUCGGGAACUGAUGAGAACCUACUGGAUCCCACCUCUG
Sphaerodactylus townsendi is the source of this 136-nucleotide long non-coding RNA. RefSeq lists it as uncharacterized. The transcript has 3 exons. The record is from RefSeq and is a predicted model, not a curated record. NCBI's taxonomy places the organism in Eukaryota, Metazoa, Chordata, Lepidosauria, Squamata, Sphaerodactylidae.